GGGUUGUGAGGUUAAGCGACUAAGCGUACACGGUGGAUGCCCUGGCAGUCAGAGGCGAUGAAGGACGUGCUAAUCUGCGAUAAGCGUCGGUGAGGUGAUAUGAACCGUUAUAACCGGCGAUUUCCGAAUGGGGAAACCCAGUGUGA
Molecule: ribosomal RNA, 146 nt
Filed under: Escherichia coli
Lineage: Bacteria; Pseudomonadati; Pseudomonadota; Gammaproteobacteria; Enterobacterales; Enterobacteriaceae
Description: partial 23S ribosomal RNA
Rfam family: Bacterial large subunit ribosomal RNA
Source: RNAcentral